RNAcentral lists this ribosomal RNA (119 nucleotides) under Triticum aestivum (bread wheat). Lineage: Eukaryota; Viridiplantae; Streptophyta; Magnoliopsida; Poales; Poaceae. The record is from RNAcentral.
GGAUGCGAUCAUACCAGCACUAAAGCACCGAAUCCCAUCAAAACUCCGAAGUUAAGCGUGCUUGGGCGAGAGUUGUACUAGGAUGGGUGACCUCCUGGGAAGUCCUCGUGUUGCAUUCC